GACCCAUCUUUUUGACAACGU
Molecule: unclassified non-coding RNA, 21 nt
Filed under: Dictyostelium discoideum
Lineage: Eukaryota; Evosea; Eumycetozoa; Dictyosteliales; Dictyosteliaceae
Source: RNAcentral